UUCAGGAGCCGUAUCACUCUGUAGACUAAGACUGGUUAUUCACUGAAGCUAAGCAGGGUCGAGUCUGCUCAGUACCUGGAUGGGAGACCUCCUGGAAAAAAAAGUUGCUGCUGGAA
RNAcentral lists this ribosomal RNA (116 nucleotides) under Sinocyclocheilus grahami. Lineage: Eukaryota; Metazoa; Chordata; Actinopteri; Cypriniformes; Cyprinidae. The record is from RNAcentral.